CAUGCUCUAGAGGGUUAGGAGUAUAUAUAAUGGAGGGAUUUGACUUCUGUAAUAUAUUCAACACAAGUAACCCAUGAUCUUAUGAUCCCAAAGCCUGAACUCUCAAUGUCUAUGUCACACUGAAAAGUCAGCAAGUGCAUGAUCGCUGCCAGGCCAUUUUCCCCCAUAUUUAGGCAACUCUGAUUAUUAGAAGAGUUCUUCCUUCUAUGGAACCUGAGUUGGCACUCUACACAGUAUCAUUGUUCUAACCAUUGUUGGUAAUGGGAGCAGAAGAGUUUGGGUGGGAAUCAGAAAUGACUUGCUAAGACGCUGGGAGGAAAGCAGAUCCAAAGACCAGGGUCCCAGGGACCAAUUCUGAUGAGGAACAAUAAGGGGAGGGAAAAACCCCAGACAGGAGCCAGGG
RNAcentral lists this long non-coding RNA (403 nucleotides) under Homo sapiens (human). RNAcentral's name for it is "non-protein coding lnc-BDNF-5:1". Lineage: Eukaryota; Metazoa; Chordata; Mammalia; Primates; Hominidae. The record is from RNAcentral.